AAGAGGGAUCUAUUGUCACCUCCAGGGAAUCCCAGCGAGGGGACGUGGGAUUGUCUUGGAUUCUCCUCUGCAUGGCUGGCAGCCUUUUAGGUAGGGCCACCUCGUUGCUGGGCACCAUCUGUAGGAGCAUUUCUUCCCCUCCUUCCUUUGUGAUGGGAAUCACCAAGUCACCUACUUCAAUGCAGUCUCUGCAGGUGGAUUUGGGAGUCAGAAGCUGCAGGUGGAAUGAGAGACAGUGGUAGGAGAGUGAAAGGACAGCAGAAAGUGCUCUAAUAUCAUUUCUGUGUGCUGGGUUGCGCACCCAUCAUGUUUUGGGAAAGAUCCUUUAGUGGAAUCUCCUGGUUCUACAAAUAAGAAACUGGAAUGUGGCAGUUAAGUAGCUUUUCUGAGAAACAGCUGCGGGCAUUUCCCUGCCAGAGACUUGGACACACUUUCAGUUUAUGUUGGUGGAAAAUGAAUGUUUCAGUCCGUUUUCUGUGGUUUACAACAAAAUACCUGAAACCGGGAAAUUUAUAAAGAAAAGAAAUUUAUUUCUUACAGUUGUGGAAGCUGAGAAGUCUGGGGUCAAGAGGGCUGUGUCUGGUGAGAGUCUUCGUGCUGGUGGGGACUCUGCUGAAUCCCGAGGCCAUGCAGGCCAUCCCAUGGAGCUGUCUAACGAUCUCCAAUCUUAAAAAGGAGCACACAGCAAGCGUGGAGGGCACCUAACUAAGAAGUCCUAUAGAGACUGGAGGGACCCGAUGAUCAAAAAGAAGUUUUGAAUGACUUGGAUUAGCAAAUGCUAAACACCUUGGAACUUAAAAAGAAAAGAUGUAAAGGAAAUAUGGAAUAAAGGAGAGAUUUACUAUUUGAGAAAAGUAGUGAAACUCCAAAGGCACUUUCAAAUCAAUACCAGGAAGCGCAUUUUCAUAAAUCUAUGGCAGAUAGAAAGAACUGUCCUGAGAAGGAGCAGCAUGACCAGGCGUGGUGUUGUUUAACCUCUUGGUUGUGAUGCCGGAGAGGAGAUGCUAAUUAGA
RNAcentral lists this long non-coding RNA (1013 nucleotides) under Callithrix jacchus (white-tufted-ear marmoset). RNAcentral's name for it is "lncRNA (ENSCJAG00000077483.1)". Lineage: Eukaryota; Metazoa; Chordata; Mammalia; Primates; Cebidae. The record is from RNAcentral.